GAUGAACGCUGGCGGCGUGCCUAAUACAUGCAAGUCGAGCGAACAGACGAGGAGCUUGCUCCUCUGACGUUAGCGGCGGACGGGUGAGUAACACGUGGAUAACCUACCUAUAAGACUGGGAUAACUUCGGGAAACCGGAGCUAAUACCGGAUAAUAUAUUGAACCGCAUGGUUCAAUAGUGAAAGACGGUUUUGCUGUCACUUAUAGAUGGAUCCGCGCCGCAUUAGCUAGUUGGUAAGGUAACGGCUUACCAAGGCGACGAUGCGUAGCCGACCUGAGAGGAGGCGGGCCACCAGGGGAGCGGGGCCCGGCCCGAGCCUCUGCGGGGGGGAGCAGGAGGGAAUUCUCCCGAAUGGGGGAAAGGCGGGGGGAGACCGCCCGGGGGGGGGAAUAAGGUUUUGCGGAUCUAAAACCUUUUUUAUGGGGAAAAAAAAAAUGUGAAAGAAAAUAUACACGUCUGGAGGUUCCCUAAUAAAAAACCCACGCCAAACUCCGCC
Molecule: ribosomal RNA, 497 nt
Filed under: uncultured bacterium
Lineage: Bacteria
Description: partial 16S ribosomal RNA
Rfam family: Bacterial small subunit ribosomal RNA
Source: RNAcentral